Molecule: ribosomal RNA, 482 nt
Filed under: uncultured bacterium
Lineage: Bacteria
Description: partial 16S ribosomal RNA
Rfam family: Bacterial small subunit ribosomal RNA
Source: RNAcentral
AUUGAACGCUGGCGGCAUGCUUUACACAUGCAAGUCGAACGGUAACAGGCCGCAAGGUGCUGACGAGUGGCGGACGGGUGAGUAAUGCAUCGGAACGUGCCCAGUCGUUGGGGAUAACUACUCGACAGAGUAGCUAAUACCGCAUCCGAUCUAUGGAUGAAAGCGGGGGACCGUAAGGGCUCGCGCGGUUGGAGCGGCCGAUGUCAGAUUAGGUAGUUGGUGGGGUAAGGGCUCACCAAGCCAACGAUCUGUAGCUGGUCUGAGAGGACAACCGGCCACACUGGGACUGAGACACGGCCCAGACUCCUACGGGAGGCGGCAGUGGGGAAUUUUGGACAAUGGGCGCAAGCCUGAUCCAGCAAUGCCGCGUGUAGGAAGAAGGCCUUCGGGUUGUAAACUGCUUUUGUACGGAACGAAACGGCUCUGGUUAAUACCCGGGGCUAAUGACGGUACCGUAAGAAUAAGCACCGGCUAACUACGUG